RNAcentral lists this ribosomal RNA (748 nucleotides) under Streptococcus thermophilus. RNAcentral describes it as "bacterial LSU rRNA". It matches the Rfam family "Bacterial large subunit ribosomal RNA", at positions 555 to 1306 of the family's 2925-position model. The record is from RNAcentral. Lineage: Bacteria; Bacillati; Bacillota; Bacilli; Lactobacillales; Streptococcaceae.
ACCGUGUGCCUACAACAAGUUCGAGCCCGUUAAUGGGUGAGAGCGUGCCUUUUGUAGAAUGAACCGGCGAGUUACGAUAUGAUGCGAGGUUAAGUUGAAGAGACGGAGCCGUAGGGAAACCGAGUCUUAAUAGGGCGCAUUAGUAUCAUGUCGUAGACCCGAAACCAUGUGACCUACCCAUGAGCAGGUUGAAGGUGAGGUAAAACUCACUGGAGGACCGAACCAGGGCACGUUGAAAAGUGCUUGGAUGACUUGUGGGUAGCGGAGAAAUUCCAAACGAACUUGGAGAUAGCUGGUUCUCUCCGAAAUAGCUUUAGGGCUAGCGUCGAUGUUAAGUCUCUUGGAGGUAGAGCACUGUUUGGGUGAGGGGUCCAUCCCGGAUUACCAAUCUCAGAUAAACUCCGAAUGCCAAUGAGAUAUAAUCGGCAGUCAGACUGCGAGUGCUAAGAUCCGUAGUCGAAAGGGAAACAGCCCAGACCACCAGCUAAGGUCCCAAAAUAUAUGUUAAGUGGAAAAGGAUGUGGGGUUGCACAGACAACUAGGAUGUUAGCUUAGAAGCAGCUAUUCAUUCAAAGAGUGCGUAAUAGCUCACUAGUCGAGUGACCCUGCGCCGAAAAUGUACCGGGGCUAAAACAUAUUACCGAAGCUGUGGAUACCUUUAUAGGUAUGGUAGGAGAGCGUUCUAUGUGCGAAGAAGGUGUACCGUGAGGAGUGCUGGAGCGCAUAGAAGUGAGAAUGCCGGUAUGAG